Molecule: ribosomal RNA, 440 nt
Filed under: uncultured bacterium
Lineage: Bacteria
Description: partial 16S ribosomal RNA
Rfam family: Bacterial small subunit ribosomal RNA
Source: RNAcentral
CCUACGGGUGGCAGCAGUGGGGAAUAUUGCACAAUGGGGGAAACCCUGAUGCAGCGACGCCGCGUGAGUGAAGAAGUAUUUCGGUAUGUAAAGCGCUAUCAGCAGGGAAGAAAAUGACGGUACCUGAGUAAGAAGCCCCGGCUAACUAAGUGCCAGCAGCCGCGGUAAUACGUAGGGGGCAAGCGUUAUCCGGAUUUACUGGGUGGAAAGGGAGCGUAGACGGCAGCACAAGUCUGGAGUGAAAUGCCGGGGCUUAACCCCGGAACUGCUUUGGAAACUGUGCAGCUAGAGUGCAGGAGAGGUAAGUGGAAUUCCUAGUGUAGCGGUGAAAUGCGUAGAUAUUAGGCGGAACACCAGUGGCGAAGGCGGCUUACUGGACUGUAACUGACGUUGAGGCUCGAAAGCGUGGGGAGCAAACAGGAUUAGAUACCCGGGUAGUC